AUCUAUCCGUGGGGGUGCUCUUUUUUCAAGGGCUGAGAAAUACCCCUCGAACCUGAUACGGGUAAUGCCGUCGAAGGGAACGGGUGUAGAAAUGCC
Molecule: non-coding RNA, 96 nt
Filed under: Calditerrivibrio nitroreducens
Lineage: Bacteria; Pseudomonadati; Deferribacterota; Deferribacteres; Deferribacterales; Calditerrivibrionaceae
Also listed under: 1 other name
Description: TPP sequence
Rfam family: TPP riboswitch aptamer (THI element)
About the family: Vitamin B(1) in its active form thiamin pyrophosphate (TPP) is an essential coenzyme that is synthesised by coupling of pyrimidine and thiazole moieties in bacteria. The previously detected thiamin-regulatory element, thi box was extended, resulting in a new, highly conserved RNA secondary structure, the THI element, which is widely distributed in eubacteria and also occurs in some archaea.
Source: RNAcentral